This is a long non-coding RNA of Pleuronectes platessa (European plaice), 515 nucleotides long. RefSeq lists it as uncharacterized. The transcript is spliced from 3 exons. The record is from RefSeq and is a predicted model, not a curated record. NCBI's taxonomy places the organism in Eukaryota, Metazoa, Chordata, Actinopteri, Pleuronectiformes, Pleuronectidae.
CUUGUGUGGGCGGAGCCGGGGAGGUUUGCUCAGGCGUCACCCCUGAGCUUUUGGCAGAUGAACCGCAUCUGAUGAAUGCAGUGCCGGUCGUUGAGGCGUCCGUCCUUGCGCAGUUGUUGUUGUUGUUGUCGGAGGAAAUCAAAUUGAGGGUGUACCUGCUGUCCAUGGAGUACGGAGUCUGGUCCACCCACUCCCACGUUCCAGUUCUCCAAUCACUCAGACCCACCCAGAAAAAAUUAGAACGUGUGUGAUGGGUCACGAAGUCCUGGACAAAGACCAAGUUUCUAUAAUCAACCAUUUAAAGUCUGUCUUUACGCAGAUGAAACUGUAGUUUAUACAAAUGGACUUACCCAGUCCCUGUCCGAGGAGAGUAUGACCAGGUGAGAUUCAUGGUCCUCACACCAGGCUCUGGAAUCAUUCCAGGACAAAGCUGAACGGCUGAAGAAAUAACAACUCAAGCCAGAGAGUUUCCAAUCAGGAGGACAACAACCUUCCAACCCUGAGCCUGCGAGACA